GAUGAACGCUGGCGGCGUGCCUAAUACAUGCAAGUCGAGCGAACAGAUGAGGAGCUUGCUCCUCUGACGUUAGCGGCGGACGGGUGAGUAACACGUGGAUAACCUACCUAUAAGACUGGGAUAACUUCGGGAAACCGGAGCUAAUACCGGAUAAUAUAUUGAACCGCAUGGUUCAAUAGUGAAAUACGGUUUUGCUGUCACUUAUAGAUGGAUCCGCGCCGCAUUAGCUAGUUGGUAAGGUAACGGCUUACCAAGGCAACGAUGGGUAGGCGACCGGAGGGGAUGCUCGGCCACAGUGGAGAGGGGAAACGCCCCCAAACCGUGAGUGAGGCACGAGAGGGAAUUCUCCGGGAGGGGGCAAAAGCCAAAAGUGGAAACGCGGCGGUAGUGUGAAAGGUCUCUGGAGCGUAAAAGCUUAUUAUUUGGGAAAAAAAAAGUUUUAUGUACCGUGGCACUUAUGACAGUACCCAAAGAAAAAGCCCCGGCUAAAUUCAUG
This 496-nucleotide ribosomal RNA is filed under the name uncultured bacterium. RNAcentral's name for it is "partial 16S ribosomal RNA". It matches the Rfam family "Bacterial small subunit ribosomal RNA", at positions 28 to 507 of the family's 1533-position model. The record is from RNAcentral.